CAGCCGCCGCGGGAAUACGUAGGUGGCAAGCGUUAUCCGGAAUUAUUGGGCGUAAAGCGCGCGUAGGCGGUUUUUUAAGUCUGAUGUGAAAGCCCACGGCUCAACCGUGGAGGGUCAUUGGAAACUGGAAAACUUGAGUGCAGAAGAGGAAAGUGGAAUUCCACGUGUAGCGGUGAAAUGCGUAGAGAUGUGGAGGAACACCAGUGGCGAAGGCGACUCUCUGGUCUGUAACUGACGCUGAGGAGCGAAAGCGUGGGGAGCGAACAGGAUUAGAUACCCGCGUAGUCCCUGUCUUUAUACA
RNAcentral lists this ribosomal RNA (301 nucleotides) under uncultured bacterium. RNAcentral's name for it is "partial 16S ribosomal RNA". It matches the Rfam family "Bacterial small subunit ribosomal RNA", at positions 509 to 809 of the family's 1533-position model. The record is from RNAcentral.